This 276-nucleotide non-coding RNA is filed under the name Clostridium tyrobutyricum. Its description in RNAcentral is "T-box sequence". It matches the Rfam family "T-box leader". Rfam says of the family: Uncharged tRNA acts as the effector for transcription antitermination of genes in the T-box leader family. T-boxes are found upstream of many aminoacyl-tRNA synthetase genes and some amino acid biosynthetic genes usually in Gram-positive bacteria. The anticodon of a specific tRNA base pairs to a specifier sequence within the T-box motif, and the NCCA acceptor tail of the tRNA base pairs to a conserved bulge in the T-box antiterminator hairpin. Lineage: Bacteria; Bacillati; Bacillota; Clostridia; Eubacteriales; Clostridiaceae. The record is from RNAcentral.
ACAUAAGCUGUGAUGAAGAGGAAAAUAUUUUGUGGAUUGACUUAAGAGAGCCAAUAUAAGGUGUAAGUUGGCGUUGAUUUAAAUAUUGUUUAUCACUUCGGAGCUUCCAAGUAGAAAGGUUUUUCCAAGUAAACAAGGACGUAUACCAGCGAUAUAUGGUUUGGGUUUGUAAGUAAAUAUCACAAGUUUAUUGAAUAAUGACCUGAAUGAGAGGCAGCUGAUACAUAUAGUUGCAAAUAAGGUGGUACCACGGAAAGUUAAUCUUUCGUUCUUAUA